GUUGGAUCAGAUGACCCUCUACGGUCCCUUCCACCGUGACUGAUGCUGUCAAUUGGUGAUUCGGUGAAGAGGAACGAACUCGUGGUGACGGGAAGCCGCACUUUGCAUCAGUGAUGGACUCCAGAGGAGGCAGGAGCCGGAAUGUGGCAAAGAGCCCUGGGUGGGAUGCCGCGGCCACCGAAAAGGCAGAUGAAAUGAGAGCUACUCACCCUGUGCCAUACUGGAAGAAGUCUCCAUGACCUGGUCUAUAUUUUAGACAAUUUCAGUUACAUUGUACAGUGUUUAUGGUAACAUUGUCAAUAUUGUUGCUGUAAGAUUUACAACCCAAACAAAUAGUAGCUUGGAAGUUUUGAAAGGAUGAGUGCUUUAGUGAAUACUUUGAAGAGGGGAAACAUCUUUUUCCUGAUUACUCACUCCUUGUUUCAGAGUGCACAGUCCCUUGGGAUGUGGUGGUUUGUGAGUCAAUAAUGAGGAGCAUAAAGAAGACUUUUGCAAUUGUCAAACCUAGGAAAAGUUGACUAUGGUUUUGGUAUAUUUCCUUGUGAGUUAGCAGAAGACAAAGUUUUAAGUUUUAAAAUAUUCAAGUGACCUUCAUUUGCCCAGCAGGUCUUUAUUGUAACUAGACAAGGCAGGCAGUGUCUGUCUGAGUCUUGUGUAAAAACCAGAAAUGAUUAAAUUUAUGAUAAUUUUUUAGAGUUUCUGAUAAUAGAUUUUCUGGGAAUACAUCUUUGCCAAUUUUAUUUGCCUUUCAGUGGUAAUAUCUAUGAAAUGAAAUUGCAGAAAAAUCCAGAGUGUUGUACAAAUUUCCAACUCUAAACUUAAUGGUUUUGUUAAGUAUGUGAUUAUUCAUUACUCUUAUUGUUUUGCUGCCUUCUCCUAUUUCCCAUCUCAAGAGAAUAAUGCAGGCAAGGGAGGCAUUCCAAGCAUGAUACAUCAGAUUUGAACACUUCUUUGGAUUUGAUGGAUGCUCUGGUCUCCACUGCUUUAUUUGAAGGAAUUAUCUUUCAGUCUGAAUAAACCUAAAAGCAAAACUAUUCUAUUCCA
This 1044-nucleotide long non-coding RNA is filed under the name Parus major (Great Tit). RNAcentral's name for it is "lncRNA (ENSPMJG00000014017.1)". The record is from RNAcentral. Lineage: Eukaryota; Metazoa; Chordata; Aves; Passeriformes; Paridae.